CCGUCGUCAGUUCGUACUGUGAAGCAUCCUGUUAAGUCAGGCAACGAGCGAGACCCACGCCAACAGUUGCCAGCAUGAUCUCCGGAUUGUAUGGGGACACUGUUGGGACCGCCUCUGCUAAAGGGGAGGAAGGAAUGGGCAACGGUAGGUCAGCAUGCCCCGAAUUAUCCGGGCUACACGCGGGCUACAAUGGAUGGGACAAUGGGUUUCGACACCGAAAGGUGAAGGUAAUCUCCUAACCCCACCCGUAGUUCGGAUUGCGGGCUGCAACUCGCCCGCAUGAAGCUGGAAUCCGUAGUAAUCGCGUCUCACGAUGGCGCGGUGAAUAUGUCCCUGCUCCUU
This 342-nucleotide ribosomal RNA is filed under the name uncultured Methanocalculus sp. RNAcentral's name for it is "bacterial SSU rRNA". It matches the Rfam family "Archaeal small subunit ribosomal RNA", at positions 998 to 1338 of the family's 1478-position model. The record is from RNAcentral. Lineage: Archaea; Methanobacteriati; Methanobacteriota; Methanomicrobia; Methanomicrobiales; Methanocalculaceae.